Molecule: ribosomal RNA, 450 nt
Filed under: uncultured Glomeromycotina
Lineage: Eukaryota; Fungi; Glomeromycota
Description: SSU rRNA
Rfam family: Eukaryotic small subunit ribosomal RNA
Source: RNAcentral
AGCAGCCGCGGUAAUUCCAGCUCCAAUAGCGUAUAUUAAAGUUGUUGCAGUUAAAAAGCUCGUAGUUGAAUUUCGGGAUCAAGUCGUCGGUCGUGCUUAGGUACGUACUGGCGUCAUUGAUUUCUCCCUUCUGACGAACCAUGAUGUCAUUAAUUUGGUGUCAUGGGAAAUCAGGACUGUUACUUUGAAAAAAUUAGAGUGUUUAAAGCAGGCUCACGCUUGAAUACAUUAGCAUGGAAUAAUGAAAUAGGACGUUCGAUCCUAUUUUGUUGGUUUUAGGAUCAACGUAAUGAUUAAUAGGGAUAGUUGGGGGCAUUAGUAUUCAAUUGUCAGAGGUGAAAUUCUUGGAUUUAUUGAAGACUAACUACUGCGAAAGCAUUUGCCAAGGAUGUUUUCAUUAAUCAAGAACGAAAGUUAGGGGAUCGAAGACGAUCAGAUACCGUCGUAGUC